Molecule: long non-coding RNA, 3649 nt
Organism: Triticum aestivum (bread wheat)
Lineage: Eukaryota; Viridiplantae; Streptophyta; Magnoliopsida; Poales; Poaceae
Exons: 2
Source: RefSeq, a predicted model, not a curated record
UCACACAGCUAUGGAUAAAUAAACAAAUAUUUUUCUGUACCACAUCUCUCCCCCGAUUCCCCUCUCUCACGCGAGCUCCAUGGCCACAAGGCCCACAACGUUGCCGCCGCCCCCGAAUCCGGGCAGUUCCGGCGCAGUUCCGUGCCGCUGCUCACCGGCCCCCUCCCCCUCACUGUUCUUCUCCUAUCUUCCGCCGCCUUAACGUCGUCCCCGCCCCUGCACGCGCCCCCGCAGCAACCCUAGUGGCCACGGGUCGCUGGUGCGGCUCCCCUGCCUCUGGUUUAUCUGCCAACUACCCCUGCGUCUCCGCACCCAUGGCUGCCAACUCGGGCUCAACGGUGCUGCUCCGCCUCGGUCACCUCGACUCUGACGUCGACAGUCCUGUAAGUCACUCCUCCCCUCUGCUGCUUUGUGUGGCAAGGCCAUCGUGCCAUGGCUGAUUCCUUGCCGUCCAUCACGAUGAUGAUCCUAAUAAACCAAAUAUUACUCUGUAGAAGCGUUACUUUUGUUGAGGAGUGCUGCCUAAAUUUGUUCUUCCACUGUGGCGUUCUAACAAUAAUUAUCCUGGCCAAGUUGCAUAAAGAAAGUAACUAAUUUGCAUCUAGAAAUGUACUAGUAUAUAUAAGGCUUGUAAGUGCAUUUGGCAGCAACAAAAAAUAGCUUGCAUCCCAUCUAAUUAACCAACUCAAUCAAUUUUUUGACGGUUAUAUCUAUAUAUAGCAUAUAGCUCAAAUAUAUAUAUGUGGCAUGUACUCUCUGUCCCAGUUGUCCUUUACAUGUGUGCAUAAUCUGUCGCAAAGCCUUUUCUUGCAAAUGCAACAAAUAUCGCUAACUAGCCAUUGACCUCCUUAAUUAUUCAUAUCUAGUACGUGCAAAUGGUAAUUAUAGGCUUAUAGCAUGGACGGCUAUGAACCCCAGAUGGCCAGAAGCAGGGGCGGAUCCACUAUUGGUCAUGGCUGUAGCUCUCCUGUGACAAAAAUUCCUAUAUGUAGGUAUAUGGCAAAAAUACUAAGAGUACAUUCUUUGAGAGACUACGCAGUAGCUCUCCUGUGACAAACAGACCAAUAAAAGCCCAUCGGCUGCAGCGGCACAACCCACUAAGCAGCAGCCCAAGAGCAGCAACCAGUCACAUCUACCGUCACGCACGACCGAACGAGAGACACUUCGCAGCUCAGCUCUGUUCAAAUGCUCCUAAAAAACCUCAGUCCAAAUUCACCAAAUCCACCAGCACGGUAGCACUAGAGCCAGAUGAGCACGGGGGAGCGGCGCUCUGACCUCUGUGCGGGCGUGCGGCUGUGCCGAUGGAGAGGUCGACGAAGUCGCGGGCUCCGGACGCUGAUAGGAUGGAGCCCUCCGUGCGGCUAGCCCAGAAGUUAGUUUUUUUUAACCAUCUUCUUAUCAAAUUUUGAUUGCUUUACUCUCUGAUUUUUCUUUGUGUGAACAUAUAGUAGGGUUGUGUUAUAGUGAAGAAAGUAAGUUAUAUUCACUCCAGACCUACAUAUCUGUUAAUGGAACUUUUAUGUUUGUUCAAGUUGACAUUAAAACAUACUUGUAUCAGUUAUAUCGUAUUUAUAUGAGGAUGUGUGAAAUAAACAGUGUAUUAUAGUCCUUUUAAAUACACAACUAUUUUUGUAUUACUGCCCGAACAUAUAAAUUUUCUUCGCAUACGUUGUAGAACCACGAUCACAUGCUUGAUCCACUGCAUCACUCAAUGGUCAUGAGCUCCACUGUCCUCAUCUGCAGAGUGAAAUAUGACCACCUAGGGAUAGCCGUUGUGCCAUUGUAGAUCACAGGUGGACAACAACCAUCAUGGUGAUUGGUGAGCAACCUUGUUGGAGCCUCGAGGCCCAAAAUUCCACUUCACCUUUCUAGGUAUUUCAGUUUUGGGCUUGCAUAUUUCAGUUUGUCAUCUAGUUCUGCCCAUGUAAGAGUUGUUUCUAGCUGGGUAUGUGUUAAUCCAGGAAGAAUAUUUCCAUCUCUUUUCCUAAAUAAUUCUUUCUUGUGAUGAAUUAGGUUUGAUUCUCUUUCUGCUAUGUGUGUGGAUAAUUAGUUAUAUUUUCGUGAAGAUUUUCAUGGCAGAGGGCAGGCCUGGCGCAGUGGUGAAGUCCUCCCCACUUGUGCCAAGAGGUCCUGGGUUCGAACCAGCCUCUCUGCAUUGCACUUUGCAGGGGUAAGACUAGGUUCCUAUAAUCCCUCCCCAGACCCCACCUUGUGUGGGAGCUUCUAUGCACUGGGUCUGUCCUUUAAGAUUUUCAUGGCAGAUCAAGUAAAUAAGCUGUGAUGGUAUCUCUGGAUAUCCUAGCUGUGACCCUGUGACCAAGUCAUGAAAGAAGAUUCCUUCAAGUAUUAGUUAAUAGGUUCUAAAGUGACUUUGCUUCAGGUAACAUGCUUGUGUUUGUUGUUUCUCUUAACAGGUAAAUCUUCGAGACUUGUGAAUAUUGCAAAUAGGAAAUAUAUAAAUCAAUAAGUUCACAGAAUAUGCCUUAAGAAUGAACUCAGAGCUUUGGCUUUAUUAAAUGGGAUCUUCGCAAGUUGAUGAUUGCGCCACACCACUCUUUUCAAUAAAUUAAGUUCUUUAAAAAUGCAAUGUUUUUAUUUGUUUAUUUUCGUAUUCUAUAGUUGAAUUUUCAAUGGAAGACUAGCAUACGUGUUAUCUAGCUUGAUAUUCUUGGCUGAUGUAAGAUAAAGCAUUCGGAUCCAUAUUUUGUACAAUUCUAUACACCAUAAUCCAGAAUAUUAUACAAAAUCUUAGGAUGGAUACAGUUCUUGUGUUCAUGUGUUAUACAAGAUAAAUCAUUACAGAAUUUGAAUGCAAGAAUAUUCUAACUUUUGUUUACAUGAAUCACAACUAUGAACAUGCAGAGACAUGAAAAAUAUUUUGAAUUAUCAAAUAUGAAGUCGUUUUAUGCAUUUAUUUUAGUUUCAGUUUCAGCUACAUCCGAUUUCCCAAGCUUUCUGUACCUAUUUGUAUUGUUUGAUCAGUCAUUUGUCAAUCGCCGACCACUCGACCUACCUUAAGCUGCACCAAAGGCGUGCCACCGCAUAGGUAAGCUUCUCUCUCGCGCCCUCUACAUUUGCAUACUUUACCUUGCUUUGGUGAAUCUGAAAGAUGAUGACUACUACUAUUGACAAAAGGGAAAGAUCAGGAAAAUUUUGAGAGUUGAAAACACACCUCUUCCUCUGAUGGAUGCUUCCAACUACUAGAACUAGAUGGUUCCCAUAUUGAGUUCACCCACUAACCUGCUAGAAAAAGAAAUGUCAUUUUAGCAUUCUUAAAUAGGAAAACUUAUAAGUUGUAACAUGACAGAAAAUUUAAACAAUAUUGUGUAAACUACUAUGGAGGUCAGAUUUAUAUCAUUAUUUGCCAGGCUUGGUGACUCAUGUCAGUUUUUUGUUGUUGUAGAUUGCAAGACAAAUAGAUGGUCCAUGGCUAAGCUGUUGAUUGCAAGAUAAAUAGAUGGCGCAUGGCUAAUUUGUUGAUUGCAAGGCGGAGAAUGGGGCAACUACCAGAUAGUUCUACAUUAAUGUUAAGAGUGUUACUUUCAUGGUCAAUGUAUAGAAAAUCAUGUAUAUAUUCCCUGGAUCGUGUUCCAUGUAUUGCAAACGAGUUGAUUUAAUAUAUGAGAUCUUUCUGUUUACCGGAUUGCUA